CAGAAAGGGGGCGAGGCGGUCACGUUAUAAGGUUGAAGUGUAUGUGUGUGAGCGAGUGUGUGUUGCGAGGGUAAACUUAGAUAUUCCUGUGAUAGUUUCUUUUUAUUAAUUUAUUUCAUAUUUUCGAAGUCAUUUAUGGUUUGCAGUGUUUUUUUUAUGCUUUAUCGAGAUUCUGGUUAACUUAUUUAUUUCCCUUAUCACUUAUCCCUUGAAUAUUAUCUUCUUUAUCACAUUAAUUAUCCAUAUCUGUUACAUUUUAUCAGUAAUUUAUGGUUUUUAGUGUGAUUUUAUAUUCCUGUAAGACAAACUAAUUCUGACUGGCUUCGUUACUCAUAUUUCCCUUAUUACUAUACGGACCAAGCAAGUUUCAGGUAAGUUUUAAUUUAAUUUUAUCCAUAUUAUAUUUCCACGCCGGUAAGUUUUGGUUUUAUUAAUAAUUCGACGAGAUAUGAAGACGCCCACCGCUUUCUCCCUCUUAGACACGUUAAUUCACCUUCAGAGCUCCCGGAAAGCCAUAAUUAAAGUGUAAAAAUAUCAAAACUAGUCUCCAGGAAAGCCAUAAUUAAGUUUAACCCUCUAAAAAUGCUUGAAAAUGGCUAUAAUAUAUCUGUGUGUGGCUUUCUUGAGUGAUUUUGAGCGGGAAAUGGGGGGGCGUCCCUAUUCUCGGCUCUGAUUGGCUGUCCUGGGGGCCUUGCUGUGCGCUGAUUGGCUGUGAGCUCCCCGCCUUUUUUUCCUGCUCUGUGAUUGGUCGCGGCACCAGGUCAGCAGCUUCCCCCUCAUUGCAACUUUGGCGCCAAAAUCUCGCUCCCUCACACACACGCCUCUUAACCUUCAAGACUCGUAGAAAACCAUAAUUAAAGUGUGCAAAGACUAAAAGUAACAUCUUGGAAAGCCACAGUAAGAGUGUAAGGCUUAAACAGGCUUGGUCGCGGUGCAAAGGACGGCUUCCCUCAUAAGAAUCUUUGCCGCCAAUUUCUCGCACCCUCACACACACGCCUCUUAACCUUCAAGACUCGUAGAAAACCAUAAUAAAAGUGUGCAAAGACUAAAACUAACAUCCCGGAAAGCCAUAGUAACGUUGUAAGGCUUAAAACAGGCUUGGAAAUAACUAUAUAUGUGUGUACGGACCCGACAUUUUCUCGCUCCUUCACACUCACGCCUCUAAACCUUCAAAGCUCCAAGAAAACCAUAAUUAAAGUGUGCAAAGACUAAUUCUAACUUCCCGGAAAGCCAUAGUAACAUUGUAAGGCUUAAAACAGGCUUGGAAAUAACUAUAAUAUAUCUUUGGCUUUGGCGGGAGAGGGCACCGUCCCUAUUCUGUGCUCUGAUUGGCUGCCCGGAGCUUCCUGUGCGCUGAUUGGCUGGGAGUCUUCGCGUCCACACAGCCAUGGCCAUCUGUCAACCCCACGCCAUGGCCCCGCUGGCUCCCACUAUUUCUUGCCUCCACGAGCUUGCCAGGGACUUGUGGAGUGUAAUUUGAGUUGCCCUGACACAACAUGUAAGGGGCAGAAACAAGAUUACAGCACCCAAUACCUACCACGACAUGCUACCACACACAAUACUAGCACAGCCAUACCAAGAAAACAAGGUGGACAUUUUAGAACUAUUGUUAUGUAAAGAAGCAAUAAGACUGUGAAGUCAAGAAAGACCUGAUCAGAAGCAUGGGGAAGAAGAGAAGAAGAAAACUGACCUCUUUUACAAUACACAGGUUACUGGACCCCUCCCUUUUACACAGACUACUACUACUACUAUUACUACCACCAUAUUGCAGCUUUAAUCAAGAAACUUGAAACAGAUGCAUAAACAGAAGGAAGGAAAUUAAAUAUAUGCAAGAAUUUUGGAAGAAUCGCUUAAAAUCCGAGAAGAGACGGCAGCACUCAACCAGGCACAAGAAAAUCAAGAAGUGGAGGCUCCGAACUGCACUGAACUGAACUGUAAACUUUAUCAGAAGGGAGGAUAUUAAAUAUACUCAAGAAUUUUAGAAGAAUCGCUUAAAAAUCAGAGAAGAGAAGACAGCACAACCAAGCACAAGAAGACCAUUUAGAGGGGCAAAGGCAACCCUCCGAACAGAACUGGAAACAAACAGAAGGGAGGAAAUUAAAUAUACUCAAGACUUUUAGAAGAAUCGCUUAAAGUUGGAGAAGAAAAGGCAGCACAACCAGGCACAAGAAGACCAUUUAGAGGGGCCGCUGCAAAGGCACUCCCUCCGAACUACACUGCACUGAACUGACCUGGUUACGGCGCCUGUGCAAGUGACCCGGGAUGGAGUAUUGGCGGCAGGGCAGCUCUACGAAAGCUGCUGUGGGAGUGCUGCCCUCCACAGCAAGCAAGGGGCUGCCCUGCCCAGACCACAGCAAGAGGAGGAAGAGCUCUGCAUUACUAAGUUAAGUACCUCACUAUGACAUUCUGAGGGUUAGGCUUCAUUUUUGCCUUCUAUUUAAAACUUUUUACUUUCUAAUGAACCUUAAUCUUUUUCUCAGCCUGCCUCCUCCUCCUCCUCCUCCUUCAACUUCCUUUACCUCCUUGUGUGAAUCUGUCCGUCCCGAGAUCCGGCGAGACCAUCCCGACGUCGUAACACCCGUUUGGGAGUGGGGGGACUCAUGAAGCUGUCGGCGGCAGCCCUAAGGUGGGUAGGGUUGCGCCGACACCUCCACUCCGUUUCGGCGGAAUGUGGCUGGCUAGGGUGGCCUGAACCACUGUCUGGGUUGUUUGUCGUUCAGUCGGAUUGAGGAUCUGCCUCCCUUGAGGUGCACAUGUCAUAGUGGUGGCAGAAGCGAGUGUGAGUGAAGCUGAUGUCAUCCCGACGUCGUAACACCGUUGGGCGGGGCGGGGCUCUCAUGUCAAGUCUCCCCGCGGUGCACAUGUCACAGAGGUGCAAAGAGCAUGGCCUUCUUUCCUAUCUUUUCCCCCUCCUCCUCCUCCACCCCCACCCCCACACACACCUCCUGCUGUUAUAUCGUCACCCUCAUAAAGUAAUUGCCUAAGUCAUUUUUCAGUGAUUUCCAUUUUUGUUAACUUGUCUUAGAUAUUCAGGGUUUGAGUGUUCUACAAUUGCCCUUUUUAUUUCUGCCUAAAUCUUAAGCCAAAUGAGAUGAUGACGUUCUCUUCUUGAAAAAUAGAAAAUAACGACUUGGGCGGUUUCUUUACGAAGGUGGCGAGAUUGUAAUAGGUUUUGCACCCUCUAUUUAGGGAUGUGCACUAAUUUUUGUCUCUUCUCUUCCCCUCCUCCUCCCCUGGCUGGCCGGGGAACGGAGGAGGAGCACUAGGACGAGGAGGUGAAGGGAGGCGGAGGGAGAGACGACUCGAGCACAGGGAGGCAAGAGACAAGAAGCAGAGACGCAGGAACAGAAAGGCAGCCAGAUGGUCGAUGCUGUGAAGAGGAGGAAGAUGACUGCAGGAGGCGGUGUGUGUGUGUUGGGGAAGGAGACGACGGCACCAACCUCACACACAGCUGGUUAAGGCCUGCAAGAGAGCCUAGUCAAUGAAGAGGAAAAGAAGACAAGAAUAAAGAAGACAAGAAGAAAGAAGAGAGGCAAAACAGGAGGAGGGGAUUUUUUUUCUGUCUAUACCUGAAGUGUGAUGAAUUUACUAAGGGUAUAUUUAAGCCUGAUAUAACGUACUUUAAGGUAUAUUUAAUGGUACAAGUGUGUAGCCUACUUUUGCCUGGAGUUGGAGACGGUAAAAUGCUCUCCGACUCCUUUAUUGUGGUGCUGUGUGGUUUGUUUACUGUGGUGCGAUGUGGGUCAUUUACUGUGGUGCGGUGUGGCUCGUUAACUGAGGUGAGGUAUGGUUCGUUUAUUGUAGUGCGGUAUGGUUCGUUUACUGUGGUGCGGUGCGGCUCGUUAAUUAAGGUGAGGUGUGGUCCAUUUAUUGUGGUGCGGUGUGGUUCGUUAAUUAAGGUCAGGUAUGGUUCGUUUAUUGUAGUGCGGUAUGGUUCGUUUACUGUGGUGCGGUGUGGCUCGUUAAUUAAGGUGAGGUGUGGUUCGUUUAUUGUGGUGCGGUGUGGCGUUGCGGGCUUUACUUUCCCUACCACUGCACCAGACAAGGGUAAGGGGGAGGGGGUGGAGUCAAAUUUUUUUAUAUCUGACUCCACACCCUUGUUAGAGUGUAAGAGUAUUGAUGGAAUAUAUUUAAGGUGCUGGGGGAUACUGUGGUGCGCUUGUCGCGGCAACCCAUUCUGCUUCUGCAUAACCCGUACUGCUGCAUGACGCAUAGCAACUCGUGUUUUUUCUGCUUCUGCAUAACCCGUACUGCUGCAUGACGCAUAGCAACUCGUGUUUUUUCCGCUGUUGCAACGACCCGUACUGCUAACGCAUAACGACCUGUGCUGCUUCUGCUAUUGUAACAACUCUUACUGCAAUAACUUACUGCUGCUUCCAUUUAAAAACGUAUUGUGUCCGCUGCUUCUAUUAUUACAACCACCCACACUGCUGCUGCUGCCCAGGUCUUCAAACAGUGGCUUGCUUGACGUGAAGCAUUGGCCAAGCAGGUCAUGCAUCAUGGCAGUCACUAGAGAUAAAAUUCGCCUGUGCCACUUCUGCUGUUGCAUAAACCCGCUGUGUUGCUAACUUGGCAACCACCCAACUAAUGAAUUUUCUGAUCAAAGAUCAAAGAGAGGAUUAGGCCUUCAGGGGACACCUCUUAAAUAAAAACGCGCCUGGGACUUUUACCUCAGAGGUGGUGUGGAAAAAAAGUCCAGUCACGAAAAUAAGUAUCUUAUACUCCAUGAAAGUGUCUCAGUCUUAUGAGAACACAAAGGUUGAGAGGGCUCAAACAUUCUGUUGUUUCCCGCAUAUGCUCCCAUGUUAGCAGUAAGGGCACUAAAUUCUGAUCUCUGUACAAAACAACCAAAUAUACAUAAUAACGAACAGAAAGUUAAAUAAAAUGUUUGCCUGCAUUACCCGUCAGCAGCGUAGACGUAACAAGGGUUGAAAAAAUGACUUAUUUAUUACAGCCGCUGGCCAACGCCUUGACCCCAGAGGCUUUGUGUUUGUCUCCGCGUCCUCCGCACUACACUGCACAGAAUCUGGCGAGCCUGGGUUGUGACAGCUAUUUCCCAAAGCCUCCAAGGAUACCAGUCAGGCUUAUGAGUGUUUUUCGUGUUGUUGGGGAAGCUCGCAAAUCUACACCUGGAAAUACUACUACCAACACAACCCAUAUGAAAGCCUUUCCUAAAACAUAAAACCUCUACCAGUGCCUUACCAGAAAGAACCAAAGCUUACCAAAUACCCAAAAAUCUCUACUAUUUGUGGUUGACUCAAGGUAUUGAAUUUUCACUUAUUUUUUAUAAUGACGUUAGUGUCCCUCAUAUGUCGUGUCAUUGAGGGAGUGUUUGUGUCUAUUAUUUGUUCUAUAUAUAAGGUAUUGAAUUUCCACUGAUUUUUUUAUACUUCUGUUACUGUCCCUCAUAUGUUGUGUCAUUGAGGGAGUGUUUGGGUCUAUCAUUUUUGUUUUGAUGCCCCUUUCAUGGAUCUAAAUAAUGACAUCCACCUUAAAAUAAAUGUAUGUGUCUGUGGUCAUCCCAAAGCUGAAGGUUGGUAUCUACUCCACUGUUUUUCAUGUUUUCUCGGACAGUUCAUAUUAUUAGCAAAUGUUUUUACCCGUCCGCUGUGAUUGGCACGGAUUUCGCCUUCACUGGUAACCUGGUAACAUGUACUCCCAAAUCAUUCUUUGUCUCUGGUGGAUAGUGGAGUGUUUCCCAUGUGGUAUUGGUGUGCUGGAUAUCCCUUCACUGGUAGCCUGGUAACAUAUGUACUCCCAGAUCAUUCUUUGUCUCUGUGGUGGAUAGUGGAGUGCUUCCCACGUGGUACUGGUGUGGUGGAUAUCCCCUCCCAAGGUGCAGGACUAUAUAUUUUUCUUCACUGAAUUGUAGCAGCCACUUUUUGCUCCACUCCUGUAGCUUGGUGAUGUCUUCUUGUAGGAAAUCCACAGUGAAGGGUUUAAGCAAGUGAGAUUUUACCCUCCCAUGACCAGUGUACAGAAGGGACCCUGUAGUUGUUUGAAGGAAUAUUACCGGAUUGAUUAACUAGAUGGUACAUAUUAGAUUAGGGCAAAAUGUGAGAAUGGGGGCAGGAGACUGGCUUCAACUAGAGGGUAUAAUAUAGAUUGACCUUGUAGUUGUUUGAAGGAAUAUUACUGGACUUGGGAGAGAGUGUGGAGGGAGGAGGAGAAAUAUUGAUAAUAGACGAUAGUGAUCCUUUAUAUGGUGAUGAAGGGAAUGGUGAUAGGUACUGGUGAUGAUAAUGGUGAUGUUAUAGUGAUGGAGGGAGGGAUGUGGCAGGUGGUUGGAUGAGAGGUGAAGGGGGAUGGGGAGGAAGGGGAGGUGAGGGGAAGAGGAGGAAGCGUGGGGGGUGAAUGGGGAGAGGGAGGGAAUGGGUAAGAAGGGAGAAGGGAGGAGAUGAAUACAUAGGAAUACAUAAGAACAUAAGAACGCAGGAGUCUGCAAGAGGCCGGUAGGCCUGUACGAGGCAGCUCCUUUGACCCUAAGCUCCCGUGUAUCUAACCCCACCUAAUAUCGCUGUCCAUGAAUUUAUCUAGUCUAUUUUUGAAUGUGACAAUUGUAUUGGCACUCACCACAUGACUGCUAAGCCUAUUCCACUCAUCCACCACCCUGUUAGUAAACCAAUUUUUGCCUAUGUCCCUGUUGAAUCUGAAUUUAUCCAGUUUAAACCCGUUACUUCGUGUCCUACCCGGUUCUCUUACCAACAAAACCUUAUGAAUGUCUCCCUUAUUAAAGCCCUUCAUCCAUUUAUAAACCUCGAUCAUGUCUCCACGCACCCUUCGCCUUUCUAGAGAAUGCAAGUUUAACUGUUUGAGUCUUUCCUCGUAUGGCAAGUUUCUCAACCCCUGAAUCAUCUUAGUCAUCCUCCUCUGCACCGAUUCUAACAUUUUGAUAUCCAUUCUAUAGUAGGGUGACCAGAACUGAACCGCACCAGAAGACCUAUCAGUCUAUGGCGAGGGUGUCUGUUUACUACCGCUACUACUAGAAAUCUACGUGUGGUAGGACAGGACAGAAAAGAUGAAGGGGUGGGAGGUGGAGAGGGGUUGAGGGGUGCGAGGGCUGGCUGGGCUCUUCCCAUUGUGUGGCCCCUCUUGACAGGCUGUGUGUGUGUGUGUGUGUGUGUGU
Long non-coding RNA from Eriocheir sinensis (Chinese mitten crab), 7126 nucleotides. RefSeq lists it as uncharacterized. The record is from RefSeq and is a predicted model, not a curated record. The transcript has 6 exons. NCBI's taxonomy places the organism in Eukaryota, Metazoa, Arthropoda, Malacostraca, Decapoda, Varunidae.